GGACCAGUGGUGUAGUGGGCAACGCAUUACGUUUGGGCGUGGAGGGAUGUGAGUUCGAUUCCCUCCCGGUCCU
Molecule: transfer RNA, 73 nt
Filed under: Gongylonema pulchrum
Lineage: Eukaryota; Metazoa; Nematoda; Chromadorea; Rhabditida; Gongylonematidae
Rfam family: tRNA
About the family: Transfer RNA (tRNA) molecules are approximately 80 nucleotides in length. Their secondary structure includes four short double-helical elements and three loops (D, anti-codon, and T loops).
Source: Rfam by way of RNAcentral